This 499-nucleotide ribosomal RNA is filed under the name uncultured bacterium. Its description in RNAcentral is "bacterial SSU rRNA". It matches the Rfam family "Bacterial small subunit ribosomal RNA", at positions 899 to 1397 of the family's 1533-position model. The record is from RNAcentral.
ACUCAAAUGAAUAGACGGGGGCCCGCACAAGCGGUGGAGUAUGUGGUUUAAUUCGACGCUACGCGAAGAACCUUACCGGGGCUUGACAUCCCGUGCUAUCUGUUGAAAGACAGAGUUCCCUUUUGGGACGCGGAGACAGGUGGUGCAUGGCUGUCGUCAGCUCGUGUCGUGAGAUGUUGGGUUAAGUCCCGCAACGAGCGCAACCCUUGUCCUUAGUUGCCAGCGCGUCAUGGUGGGCACUCUAAGGAGACUGCCGGUGACAAACCGGAGGAAGGUGGGGAUGACGUCAAGUCAUCAUGCCCCUUAUGUUCCGGGCUACACACGUACUACAAUGGUCUGUACAGAGGGUCGCGAAGCCGCGAGGUGGAGCCAAUCCCAGAAAGCAGAUCUCAGUUCGGAUUGCAGGCUGAAACUCGCCUGCAUGAAGUUGGAAUCGCUAGUAAUCGCAGGUCAGCAUACUGCGGUGAAUACGUUCCCGGGCCUUGCACACACCGCCCGU